GCUCCCGUAGUCUAAUGGAUAGAACAUUGGCCUCCGAAGCUGAAAAUGUGCGUUCGAUUCGCACCGGGAGCA
This 72-nucleotide transfer RNA is filed under the name Candidatus Cerribacteria bacterium 'Amazon FNV 2010 28 9'. Its description in RNAcentral is "tRNA-Arg". It matches the Rfam family "tRNA". Rfam says of the family: Transfer RNA (tRNA) molecules are approximately 80 nucleotides in length. Lineage: Bacteria; Candidatus Cerribacteria. The record is from RNAcentral.